GAUGAACGCUGGCGGCGUGCCUCAAACAUGCAAGUCGAGCGGGGCUAUGUAAUAUCGCAAGGUAGAACAUAGCCUAGCGGCGAACGGGUGAGUAACACGUGGGUAACCUGCCUGGAAGACAGGGAUAACGAUUCGAAAGGGUCGCUAAUACCUGAUAAUAUCCUUUCAUCGCAUGGUGAUAGGAAGAAAGGGGAAACCCGCUUUCAGAUGGGCCCGCGUCCCAUCAGCUAGUUGGUAAGGUAAAGGCUUACCAAGGCGACGACGGGUAGCCGGUCUGAGAGGAUGUACGGCCACACUGGGACUGAGAUACGGCCCAGACUCCUACGGGAGGCAGCAGUUGGGAAUCUUAGGCAAUGGACGAAAGUCUGACCUAGCGACGCCGCGUGAGAGAAGAAGGCCUUCGGGUUGUAAACUCUGUCAUGGGGGAAGAAGUAAGUGACGGUACCCAAGAGGAAGCCCCUGCUAACUACGUGCCACGCCGCCGCCGGUAACACCCUCGUCUCUA
RNAcentral lists this ribosomal RNA (505 nucleotides) under uncultured bacterium. Its description in RNAcentral is "bacterial SSU rRNA". It matches the Rfam family "Bacterial small subunit ribosomal RNA", at positions 28 to 537 of the family's 1533-position model. The record is from RNAcentral.